RNAcentral lists this ribosomal RNA (255 nucleotides) under uncultured bacterium. RNAcentral describes it as "partial 16S ribosomal RNA". It matches the Rfam family "Bacterial small subunit ribosomal RNA", at positions 524 to 775 of the family's 1533-position model. The record is from RNAcentral.
UACGUAGGGGUCCGAGCGUUGUCCGGAAUUAUUGGGCGUAAGGCGCGUAGGCGGCGCCACAAGUCACUUGUGAAAACUCUGGGCUCAACCCAGAGCCGUGCAGGCGAAACUGUGGUGCUGGAGUGAUGGGAGAGGUGCGUGGAAUUCCCGGUGUAGCGGUGAAAUGCGUAGAGUAUCGGGAGGAACACCAGUGGCGAAGGCGGUUCUCUGGGCCUUACCGUGACGCUGAGGAGCGAAAGCGUGGGGAGCAACAGG